Molecule: long non-coding RNA, 596 nt
Filed under: Zonotrichia albicollis (white-throated sparrow)
Lineage: Eukaryota; Metazoa; Chordata; Aves; Passeriformes; Passerellidae
Description: lncRNA (ENSZALG00000001927.1)
Source: RNAcentral
ACUCAGUGGUCACUCAGUGGUCACUCAGCGGUCAGUGGCCACUCAUUGGUCACUCUGUGGUCACUCAGUGGUCACUCAAUGGGCAGUAUAAGGGCAGUAUAAGGGCAGUGGUCACUCAUUGGUCACUCAAUGGGCAGUAUAAGGGCAGUGGUCACUCAGUGGUCACUCAAUGGGCAGUAUAAGGGCAAUAUAAGGGCAGUGGUCACUCAUUGGUCAGUAAUGGUCACUCAGUGGUCACCCAGUGGUCACUCAGUGGUCACUCAGUGGUCACUCAUUGUUCAGUGGUCACUCAGUGGUCACUCAGUGGUCACUCAAUGGGCAGUAUAAGGGCAAUAUAAGGGCAGUGGUCACUCAUUGGUCACUCAGUGGUCACUCAGGGGUCACUCAGUGGUCACUCAUUGGUCAGUGGUCACUCAAUGGUCACUCAGUGGUCACUCACUUCCGGCCGAGCUCUCUCAGGUCGUGCCCCCAUGACCGGUCAGUGGUCAGUGUGGUCAGUAAUGGUCACUCAAUGGUCACUCAGUGGUCACUCAGUGGUCACUCAGCGGUCAGUGGUCACUCAGGGAUGUUCUGUAUUGGUCAUUGGUCACUCAGUG